UGAGGAAUAUUGGACAAUGGAGGCAACUCUGAUCCAGCCAUGCCGCGUGUAGGAAGACGGUCUUAUGGAUUGUAAACUACUUUUAUACAGGAAGAAACCUCUCUUUGCGAAGGGAAUUGACGGUACUGUAGGAAUAAGGAUCGGCUAACUCCGUGCCAGCAGCCGCGGUAAUACGGAGGAUCCGAGCGUUAUCCGGAAUCAUUGGGUUUAAAGGGUCCGUAGGCGGGGUAAUAAGUCAGUGGUGAAAGUUUUCGGCUCAACCGGAAAAAUGCCAUUGAUACUGUUAUUCUUGAAUAAGUGUGAAGUAACUAGAAUAUGUAGUGUAGCGGUGAAAUGCAUAGAUAUUACAUGGAAUACCGAUUGCGAAGGCAGGUUACUAACACUUUAUUGACGCUGAUGGACGAAAGCGUGGGUAGCGAACA
Molecule: ribosomal RNA, 422 nt
Filed under: uncultured Flavobacteriaceae bacterium
Lineage: Bacteria; Pseudomonadati; Bacteroidota; Flavobacteriia; Flavobacteriales; Flavobacteriaceae
Description: bacterial SSU rRNA
Rfam family: Bacterial small subunit ribosomal RNA
Source: RNAcentral